GAAGAACUGUCAUGGAAAAGAUGGAGUGGGAUUAUAUAAGGCCCUGGAUGUGAAACCAGAAAUCAAUGAGAACAUGACAGGGGCCAAGCUUCACCUCAGCCGUCAGUCUUCUUACAGCCCCCAAAGCUACAGUGAGAACGGCUUCCCAACUACGGUUUGUCUGACCUCACCAAGGGGUUAUCACCAUGGCCUGUAUUAAUAGUUCUCAGAUUUUUCCUAUAAUUAGGCAGUUUGGGGUCUGGAGAAGAUGUACAUCCUGUCUCUGUAAACUCAGGUUGAAGUCUGUGGUUCUGCAGAGCUCAGAGAGGGGCAGUAACAGUUUCAGAAGAUGAAGGGGAACUACAGCAUUGUAUACAAACUUAGACCACAGAAUCUUCCAAAGAAUCUCCCUUCUCCUAACCCUGGAUCCCUGAACUGUUGAGAGGACAAGGAGCUUCCUGAGUAUGAAGGACUCAUCCUUAAAGCAUGAAGCAUAUCAUGCUGUACCAAGGACACUGAAACAUAGGGGUGAAGACACCAGACCAACAUCGCUGUCUUCAAAAACUCACCACCAGUGUCCUUUGGCAGAGGAGGCAGGGCUAUCAGAACUGUCACUCAUCCAUGAAAGUGGAAGAAGCACCAUGUAGGGAGGAGAAGGAAACCAGCAGGAAGGAAAGAAGGAGAAAUAGCAAUGAACAGAUGUGGUCGAAGGGACAUGCAUCAAUGAACAUGUUUUCAUAGAAGCCAUCACUGUGGACAAUAAAUACAUAAAUAAAAAAUUCAAAUGCCUCAGUCAUCGAAACUGAGAAAACCCUGGAGAAACUUGCAGUUGGGAGGGGA
Molecule: long non-coding RNA, 819 nt
Organism: Alexandromys fortis (reed vole)
Lineage: Eukaryota; Metazoa; Chordata; Mammalia; Rodentia; Cricetidae
Exons: 3
Source: RefSeq, a predicted model, not a curated record